RNAcentral lists this long non-coding RNA (4685 nucleotides) under Sus scrofa (pig). RNAcentral's name for it is "lncRNA (ENSSSCG00000054671.1)". The record is from RNAcentral. Lineage: Eukaryota; Metazoa; Chordata; Mammalia; Artiodactyla; Suidae.
CCUGUUUCCAGAUGAUCACCUCAACUUUAUUUCCCACAUCUUCUACUGACUUUUGCAAAUUUGCUAUGGCACAUUUGUUUCUAAAGAGUUUCUAUCUGAUUUUUUAAUAUUCUUUGUUGCUUGUAAAAGCCUUCUCUCCUUAUGUCAUAGUUGCAGAAUCUUACUUUUUCUUAUGACAUCGUUUAUAGCCUCUUUACUUCAGAUUUCUUUUCUUUGAUCUGAAUAGCCACCUUUACUAAGUGAUCAAAUUUAGCAUCAUGAAUUAUUUUUAUUAGUGGGCCAAUUGAUAUUUAUAUGCUCUUCCAUCAUGAUUUAAGAAUAACACAAAAUAAUAUCGUCUUUGAAGCAGACCUAUUUUUCAGGAAAUACCAGAAAUAGGGAAAUAAGUUAAAUGAGAUCAUGAUGGAAUAGUCAAAUAACGAAUGUAGGACACUCUAUCUGCAAGACAACUGAUCUGAACUCCUUGAAAUACCAAAUGUCAUGAAAAACAAAAGGCAGAGGAAGUGUUCUAUAUUAAAGGGGUUAAGAAACACACAUAAAAUGCAACUCAUGAAAUCAUGAAAAAAAAUGAAGCCCUAACAAAAGUCACUUGGGGAAUAAUAUGAAAUAUAAGUAACAGAAUUAUUAUUAUUAAUCUUAGAUGUAAAAAUGAUUGUAUAUGUGAAAGCCCUUAUUUUUAGGAGAAAUAUGCUCAAUUAUUUAGAAGUGCAAUUCAGCAUUUGUGGUAAAGGGAGAAAGAGAUAGAGAGAGAUCAAGCACAAAAAUGGUGAAAGAGUCAUCUCAUUAUUCUGCUUCUUUUUAGGUUUGACACUUUUCAAAAUAAAAGUUGAGGAAAGGUGUUCUUUUCCUAUAGAGUCUGUUUCAUCUAAGUUACUCUUUUUUACUUUUCUGGCUAUUUUCUGUCUUUCAUGUUUUGAGGAUUGCAUCAGAUGGCAGGUAAUCCUUGGUUGCCUACUCAUGUUUAAGAGUAGAAGAUUAAAAUGCUGAUCAUAAACUAUGAAUGUAGAUGGGGCUUGCUUACUAUGAUUACUUGUUGUGCUAUCUGUGUGUGUGUAUAUGUGUGGAUAACCCUGCUAUAAAUAUUGUUAUAUAUUUCCUCAGCUUGUCAGAGAAGAGUUUCUCAAUUUUGUAGACGGGGUCUUUAGACCUGGGUGCUACUGGGAAAACAGUCAAUCAAAAGCCAGAAGUUUCAUCUUUCACUAGGUAAACCCACACUUAUUUCUCCAUUUUUACUUUGGCAUGUACCCCAACUACACCUGUCUCCUUCUCUUUCCAGUGCAGGGACCCUUCAAUUAUUCUCUUCAGAGUGUAAAUCUCAAGUAAGGAAGAGUCCAAAAUCUGCUUCUUUAUGAUGAGAAGUAGCUGAGGGGAUAUAAUAGACUUAGACACAAGCUUCUUGCUUCAAUUCCACCUUCACUUCCAUUCAGAGGUGGAACUGUCAAUUCCUAUGCCUGUCUGGGAUUCCCUAUUGCCAACAUAGGAUCCUGCUUUCUCAUAUUUGCUAAAUCAGUUACCGCCCACCCAUCUGCUUUCAGCUUCCAAAAGUUUGCUGCAUUUGCCUCUUACAGCUAUUUUUGUUCUUGUGGAUUCCUGACGGAUUAAAAAAAAAUCUCUGCAUUCCCCAUUUUAGUGGAAUAAGAUGGGAGUAAGCAAGGGAAUAUAUGUAUAUAUAAUCCAUUAUUUAUAAGCAAUUUUUCUAAGAAUAUGUAUGGUAAAAAAACAUUUAAUAUAUCUCGCCUUGAAAAAGAACACAUUGUUUUACUUUUAAAAGCUAGUGUUCAGUAAUCCCAGUUUUUCAAGGCUAUCUUAAAAAUGCAUAAUAUGAGUAUUUCAAGGUGUCAAAAUUAUACUGAUAAAAAUUGCUGAAGUAGGACUUCAGGGUAAUUUUUAUUUUAUUUCUCAUUUUUAUAUUCCUAGUUUUUAUAAUGACAAAAAUUAUUUUUAAAUGAAAAACACAUGUAAAAAUUACAUCAUAAAAAAUAGUAAAUAAUCCAUACUUUUUUUUAAUGGCCACACCCACAGCAUGUGGAAAUUCCUGGGCCGGGGACUGAAUCCAAGCCACAGCAGCAAACUACACUACAGCUGUGACAAUGCCAGAUCCCUUAACCCACUGCACCAUGCCAGGCUUCCACAGUGACCCCAGGUGUUGCAGUUGUAUUCUUAACCCACUGUGCCACAGCAGGAACUCCUAGUCCACACUUUUAAUUGAUUUCCUAUUAGAUACCUAGUAUGCCAGCAUUUAAAAACCUACUAAGAAUAUGAAAUAGAGUUCCUAUUAUUUCAAAUAUUAACAAGUUUAUUAAUAUGCUAGUCUUUUUUUUCUUUUUUUGGUCUCUUGUCCUUUUAGGGCCAUACUAUGGCAUAUGGAGGUUCCCAGACUAGGGGUCUAAUAGGAGCUUUAGCCACCAGCCUACGCCAGAGCCACAGCAACACCAGAUCUGAGCCAUGUCUGUGACCUACACCACAGCUCACAGCAACACCAGAUUCUUAACCCUCUGAGUGAGGCCGGGGAUUGAGCCCGCAACCUCAUGGUUCCUAGUCAGAUUCAUUUCCACUGUACCACGAGGGGAACUCCUAAUAUGCUAUUCUUGAAUGACAAGUCCCUUUACUGCUGGGGAAGGUGGAGUAUGACAACAAAAACGAACUAAAAAUCCUCCAUACCUCUUUUUAAGAAAGAAUUGCCAUCUCCCACCAUGACAGCAAUCUGAAGGUCAAAUCUAACUAGGAAGGUUAGCUUACUGUCCCUUCCUUGGUGGCCAAUGAGUUUUUUGUUUUAUGCAAGCUAGAGCUUCCAAACUAUGGCUGCCAAGUAGAUGAGAUGAAAGCAGUGUCAGCUUAAGGCCGUCAGGCAUAGAUAAAUCUGAUUCUGAAUACAUCUCCAUCCAUAAUGAAUUCAGCAACACACUUGGAAGGAGGAAGGAAAUCAUCAGACCGUUAUUUAAAAAAUUUCAGAGGGCUUGAUGGCACCCAGUUCUGCUGUCUUAUUGUCUGCUAACAAGAGGCCAAUCUCAGGGGGCUGCAAAGCCAUUUUCAUUUGCCCUCUCUCCUGAGCAGAGACAGACAGGUAGGAAUUAAAGUUUUAGGAAUUUGUUACCAUAUUUCAUUAUUUCAAGUUUACAUCAAAAUCUGAUAAUGAUAUGGCACUCAGUGCAUCAUACAUUUCCAAGAGGAAAAGGUGCCAAGAAACUGAGUUUUCAAACAGCCAAGAACCUAGAUUGUGUAGACCUGUGUCAAGACCUACCUUGCUUCCUACCCCAAGACCCUUUAGAGUUAAGAUCGAACAUCCUCCUAGAUCUCCAGGUUCAGAUCAUCUGAUCUCAAGUGAGGGAGGAAAGUCUGUAUGAUAUUCAAAAUAAAAUAUUAUCAUUCCUCCCAUUUCUUUUCAUAUGUUAAAGCUUUAUUCUGUUAUGUUGUUUUAUAAUUUAAAACAAUAAAGUCACUCAUUCAAGAGUACACAGUCUGAUGAGUUUGGUAAAUGCACAGAAGCAAUCACCACAAAACAAAAUUCCAUCUGGGUCUGACUACAUCAUUUGUAGGUGCCAGUGUAAAAUAUUACCAAAAAUUUCAAAAUAGUGACAACAGACAAAGACAAAGACAAAGCCCUUCUGAGCUUGAGGUCCUGUGAGACUGUAUACAUCACACCCAGGAACUGGCUCUGCUCCUCCAUCACGUUCCAAAAGUUCCCUUAUUCCCUUUCAGCUAAUCCCUGGCUACAGGCAACCACAGCUCUAUUUUUUGUCCUUGUAAUUUUGCCUUUUCUAGAAUUUCAUAAAGAUAGAAUCAUAUAGUAACUAUUCUUUUGUGUCUGGCUUUCAAUUUUAUUCAUUUCUCCUACUGUUCGUCCAUUUCUAUUGUAUUAAUUUCCUUUGCGAUGUUGAUUAUUUUUCUACUUUCUUCUGCUGAACUAUUUUAGGUUAGUUUUUUAUAGCUUCUUAAUGUAGAUGUUCAGAUUUUUUUUUCUAAUCUCCUGAAACUAGCAUUUAUAGCUUUAAAUGUCAACAUAGACAACACUGCCUUAGCUGCAUCUCACAAAUUUUGAUAUGCUUUGCUUUCAUUUUUAUUUAGUUCAAGAAUAUUCUAAUUUCUCUUGUCAAUUCUUCUUUAACCUCUGGGCUACUUAGAAAAUUCGUUAUUUUAAAAAUUCUACAUAUUUGUAGAUUUUUCAGAUUUCUUUUGCUAUUAAUUUCUAAUUUAAUUCUGAUUUUCAGAACAUAUUUCAUGUGAAUUUCAUCCCUAUUAAUUUAUUAAGAUACCUUCCUUGGCAAAGCAUUUGGUUUAUGAUGGUUAACAUUCUGUGUGCACUUGAAAAUGAAUAUAUUUUACUAUUAUUUGGGGCUUGAUAGAUAUAAACUGGAGAGUGUGUAGUUGGUUCUUGAAUUUUUAUUAAGUUGAACAAUCUCCUUUUUGAUUGUAAUAUUUAGGCCCUUUACAUUUAAUAUUAUUAUUAGUAUUAUUGUUCUAUUUUUUAGGUCUGCCAUUUUUAUUUGUUGGAUUUGUCAAUGUAGAACAGUUUAAAUGUGUUUAAGUCAUAAGACACAAGAUCAAUGUGAAAACAAGAUGUUCAAAUCUGUAACAGUGAGGGAAAUAAAAAUAUAAGAAGUGACCUUACUUCUGGCAGCUUGAUAAAGUUGUAAGAGUCUUUUCUGCAGAGAAAAGCAUACACCAAAAAGCAUUACUAAAAAUAA